AUGAAACUUCUAAGUCGGCCUUACCAGUUGCUGGUGUGGAAACACACAUGUGCACGGUUUGGUCGCAAAUCCUCACACACCUGUGCAUCCAUGACUCUGAGGUUGUUAAUCGACCGAAAGAGUACUUUUUAUACACUCUGAAUGUAACGGAAUGUCUAUGUGCUAUAAUGUACAAAUAAA
This 180-nucleotide unclassified non-coding RNA is filed under the name uncultured Sebacinales. RNAcentral's name for it is "sequence contains ITS1". Lineage: Eukaryota; Fungi; Basidiomycota; Agaricomycetes; Sebacinales. The record is from RNAcentral.